This 915-nucleotide ribosomal RNA is filed under the name uncultured bacterium. RNAcentral's name for it is "bacterial SSU rRNA". It matches the Rfam family "Bacterial small subunit ribosomal RNA", at positions 1 to 916 of the family's 1533-position model. The record is from RNAcentral.
UUAGAGUUUGAUCCUGGCUCAGGAUGAACGCUAGCGAUAGGCCUAACACAUGCAAGUCGAGGGGCAGCAUAGGGUAGCAAUACUUUGAUGGCGACCGGCGCACGGGUGAGUAACGCGUAUGCAACCUACCUAUAACAGGGGAAUAACCCGGAGAAAUUCGGACUAAUACCGCAUAAAACAGGGGCUCCGCAUGGAGAUAUUUGUUAAAGAUUUAUCGGUUAUAGAUGGGCAUGCGUUCCAUUAGCCAGUUGGUGAGGUAACGGCUCACCAAAGCAACGAUGGAUAGGGGAACUGAGAGGUUUGUCCCCCACACUGGAACUGAGACACGGACCAGACUCCUACGGGAGGCAGCAGUGAGGAAUAUUGGUCAAUGGGCGAGAGCCUGAACCAGCCAAAUCGCGUGAAGGAAGACUGCCUUAUGGGUUGUAAACUUCUUUUAUACAGGAAUAAAAAGAGUUACGUGUAACUUAUUGCAUGUACUGUAUGAAUAAGCAUCGGCUAACUCCGUGCCAGCAGCCGCGGUAAUACGGAGGAUGCGAGCGUUAUCCGGAUUUAUUGGGUUUAAAGGGUGCGCAGGCGGGAACUUAAGUCAGCGGUGAAAUCUCGACGCUUAACGUCGGAACUGCCGUUGAAACUGGGUUUCUUGAGUAUAGAUGAAGUAGGCGGAAUUCGUUGUGUAGCGGUGACAUGCUUAGAUAUAACGAGGAACUCCGAUUGCGUAGGCAGCUUACUAAGCUAUAACUGACGCUCAAGCACGAAAGCGUGGGGAUCAAACAGGAUUAGAUACCCUGGUAGUCCACGCCGUAAACGAUGAUUACUAGUUGUAUGCGAUAUACGGUAUGUGACUAAGCGAAAGCGAUAAGUAAUCCACCUGGGGAGUACGCCGGCAACGGUGAAACUCAAAUGAAUUGACGG